This 135-nucleotide microRNA precursor is filed under the name Hordeum vulgare. RNAcentral describes it as "miR156 stem-loop (hvu-MIR156a)". Its record names the gene hvu-MIR156a. The record is from miRBase by way of RNAcentral. Lineage: Eukaryota; Viridiplantae; Streptophyta; Magnoliopsida; Poales; Poaceae.
UGACAGAAGAGAGUGAGCACACAGCGGCAGGCUACGUCUGAUAAGAGCAUGGUUAAUAGUAUAGCCAACUGCUGGCUAUACUAUGAGCACGUGCUUAGACGCAGCUGCUGUUGCGUGCUCACCCUCUCUCUGUCU